UACGUAGGGGGCAAGCGUUGUCCGGAAUUAUUGGGCGUAAAGAGCGUGUAGGCGGUCCGGUAAGUCAGCUGUGAAAGUCAAGGGCUCAACCCUUGAAAGCCGGUUGAUACUGUCGGGCUAGAGUCCGGAAGAGGCGAGUGGAAUUCCUGGUGUAGCGGUGGAAUGCGCAGAUAUCAGGAGGAACACCAAUAGCGAAGGCAGCUCGCUGGGACGGUACUGACGCUGAGACGCGAAAGCGUGGGGAGCAAACAGG
Molecule: ribosomal RNA, 253 nt
Filed under: uncultured bacterium
Lineage: Bacteria
Description: partial 16S ribosomal RNA
Rfam family: Bacterial small subunit ribosomal RNA
Source: RNAcentral